This 297-nucleotide unclassified non-coding RNA is filed under the name fungal sp. Its description in RNAcentral is "partial internal transcribed spacer region". The stretch from base 1 to 45 matches the Rfam family "Eukaryotic small subunit ribosomal RNA", at positions 1787 to 1831 of the family's 1831-position model. The record is from RNAcentral. Lineage: Eukaryota; Fungi.
AGUCGUAACAAGGUAUCCGUAGGUGAACCUGCGGAUGGAUCAUUAGCAAAGCAAAUAUAGUUUUGUAAGUAUUGUGAACAGUUUUGAAUGUGGGCAGCAGUUGGGUGUUUUGUCGGGUGUAUGUUGAUGUAUGUUGAUGUAUGUUGAUGUAUGUUGAUGUAUGUCGAUGUAUGUCGAUGUAUAUGUCGAUGAAGGGCUGGCUGCGCCGGGUUUGUACACGUAUUGUGCGCGACGACUGACGUCUACUUUAGUAGUGUAAAGUACAGACAACUUUUAGCAACGGAUCUCUUGGCUCUC